This 63-nucleotide transfer RNA is filed under the name Halocaridinides fowleri. Its description in RNAcentral is "tRNA-Asn". Lineage: Eukaryota; Metazoa; Arthropoda; Malacostraca; Decapoda; Atyidae. The record is from RNAcentral.
UUAGUUAAAGCCAAAAUAGAGGCAUUCCACUGUUAAUGGUUGAAAUGAAGGUUACUUCUAGCU